Molecule: ribosomal RNA, 473 nt
Filed under: Streptococcus sp. oral taxon C14
Lineage: Bacteria; Bacillati; Bacillota; Bacilli; Lactobacillales; Streptococcaceae
Description: bacterial SSU rRNA
Rfam family: Bacterial small subunit ribosomal RNA
Source: RNAcentral
AUUGAACGCUGGCGGCAGGCUUAACACAUGCAAGUCGAACGGUAACAUAAAGAAGCUUGCUUCUUUGAUGACGAGUGGCGGACGGGUGAGUAAUGCUUGGGAAUCUAGCUUAUGGAGGGGGAUAACUACGGGAAACUGUAGCUAAUACCGCGUAAUAUCGAAAGAUUAAAGUGUGGGACCUUCGGGCCACAUGCCAUAGGAUGAGCCCAAGUGGGAUUAGGUAGUUGGUGAGGUAAAGGCUCACCAAGCCGACGAUCUCUAGCUGGUCUGAGAGGAUGACCAGCCACACUGGGACUGAGACACGGCCCAGACUCCUACGGGAGGCAGCAGUGGGGAAUAUUGCGCAAUGGGGGCAACCCUGACGCAGCCAUGCCGCGUGAAUGAAGAAGGCCUUCGGGUUGUAAAGUUCUUUCGGUAGCGAGGAAGGCAUUUAGUUUAAUAGACUAAGUGAUUGACGUAACUACAGAAGAAGC